UGGGGAAUAUUGCACAAUGGGCGAAAGCCUGAUGCAGCAACGCCGCGUGAGUGAUGAAGGCCUUCGGGUUGUAAAGCUCUGUCUUUUGGGACGAUAAUGACGGUACCAAAGGAGGAAGCCACGGCUAACUACGUGCCAGCAGCCGCGGUAAUACGUAGGUGGCAAGCGUUGUCCGGAUUUACUGGGCGUAAAGGAUGCGUAGGCGGAUUUUUAAGUGAGAUGUGAAAACCCUAAGCUUAACUUGGGGACUGCAUUUCAUACUGGAAAUCUAGAGUGCGGGAGAGGAGAAUGGAAUUCCUAGUGUAGCGGUGAAAUGCGUAGAGAUUAGGAAGAACACCAGUGGCGAAGGCGAUUCUCUGGACCGUAACUGACGCUGAGGCAUGAAAGCGUGGGUAGCAAACAGGAUUAGAUACCCUGGUAGUCCACGCCGUAAAACGAUGAGUACUAGGUGUAGGAGGUAUCGACCCCUUCUGUGCCGCAGUUAACACAAUAAGUACUCCGCCUGGGAAGUACGAUCGCAAGAUUAAAAACUCAAAUGAAUUGACGGGGUCAUAGCUG
This 558-nucleotide ribosomal RNA is filed under the name uncultured bacterium. RNAcentral's name for it is "partial 16S ribosomal RNA". It matches the Rfam family "Bacterial small subunit ribosomal RNA", at positions 355 to 932 of the family's 1533-position model. The record is from RNAcentral.